UCCCACUGUCCCUGUCUACUAU
Molecule: small nuclear RNA, 22 nt
Filed under: Arabidopsis thaliana (thale cress)
Lineage: Eukaryota; Viridiplantae; Streptophyta; Magnoliopsida; Brassicales; Brassicaceae
Description: snRNA_08791
Source: RNAcentral